Molecule: ribosomal RNA, 480 nt
Filed under: uncultured bacterium
Lineage: Bacteria
Description: partial 16S ribosomal RNA
Rfam family: Bacterial small subunit ribosomal RNA
Source: RNAcentral
GAUGAACGCUGGCGGCGUGCUUAACACAUGCAAGUCGAACGGAACUACUCCAAUGAGAGUCUUCGGAAAGGAUUUGGUUUAGUUUAGUGGCGGACGGGUGAGUAACGCGUGGGUAACCUGCCCUAUACAGGGGGAUAACAGUUGGAAACGACUGUUAAUACCGCAUAAGCGCACAGGAGCGCAUGCUCCGGUGUGAAAAACUCCGGUGGUAUAGGAUGGACCCGCGUCUGAUUAGCUGGUUGGCGGGGUAACGGCCCACCAAGGCGACGAUCAGUAGCCGGCGUGAGAGGGUGAACGGCCACAUUGGGACUGAGACACGGCCCAAACUCCUACGGGAGGCAGCAGUGGGGAAUAUUGCACAAUGGGGGAAACCCUGAUGCAGCGACGCCGCGUGAGCGAAGAAGUAUCUCGGUAUGUAAAGCUCUAUCAGCAGGGAAGAAAAUGACGGUACCUGACUAAGAAGCCCCGGCUAACUACGUG